AUUUCAGUGAAACAGUUUGCUUAAGUGAUUGGCCAUAGGUUAGGCUCUGAACAUACAACCCUUUGUCUCUUUUUUAAAUCUUGGAAACAGAAUGAUCCUUCAUUUGAAACUAUUGCUGCAUUCAUGACUGUUCACUUUGUGUCUUGUAUUUUUAUCAUACUUCUUGACCGUUACAGGGAUUAUGCUAUUUAAAACUAUGAAUAAGGUGAGGGAUGCCUCUACUGGCAAACAUUUCAAUGAUGUAUUUUUUGAUGACUUUGUGUUCUUUGAUGGUGCUACUGCUGUAAUAUUCAAAAGGCUAGGGGGAUAGUAUAAGUUGUUAGAGCCAGAGGAUUGAUUCUGCCUUAGAAAAAUCUCAUUUAAAAAAAUCCAGGAGUUCCAUAGACACAUGCAUACAUGAUGACUCCCCAACAAAUGGAAUAUUGUUCAUCCUGCAGCACCUGGCUUUCAAAUACUAUUCUGUUCUUGAACAGGAAAGAUCUGUCUAGUCAUUGUGGGAAGUAGCAAUCUGGUUCAGCUGGAUCUUGCGUUGAACUGUUUUUUCUCUAUUCAGUUGAAUGUGUAAAGGUGAGCCAAGGAUUACUGGAUCUGGUGAAUGUGUAACGGGCUGGGUUAGAAGAUCUGCUGCCCUAAAUAUGGCUUAUUCAUACGUGUGAAAAGUGGAAGACACUAUCUAGAACAAAGACAAAUUUCCUUUUUCUUGUGCUCACAGACACUCUUCAUUACACACACGAGCAGUUCUAUAGCGCAAGGAUUUUUAGAAGUGGUAAGGAAUGUGGGUCUUUAAGUUAUGCAAGAAACAAAAUGAAAGUACUGUGUCCCAUUCCCAUGAUGUGACCAUAUGUAUAUAAAUCACAUUUUCCUUUCAAAGUACAGUAUAUGGCAACCAGGAGAGGAUUAGCACUCUGCAUGUGAAUACAUUAAAGGGAAGAGUAAUAUAUACAUGAAUGUGGUCUUUGUAACUGAUACAAUAUGUUUUGUACUUUACUUAAAUAUCUUGGCUUACAUCAUUUCUCAUGAAAAGUGGUCUAUAACAUAUGUCCAUAAACCUGAAGGUAUGCUUCCUCAGCUUAGGGCUAUAACUUGUUUAGCAUUUUCCCACAUUUGGGAAAAAGAAAACUUAGCUGUUUGUCUGCUUAUAAGAAAAUUAUUUUCCCUCUUUGAAAAAUAAUCCAUUAACAGAGGGAUGUGUGUGUGCAUGUGUGUUGUGUCAUUUGGCAGAAAAUAGUCAUGUGUGCCUGCCCUGUAAAGGAUGGGAGGGUAACAGUUCCCAAAAUGCAGCAUGUGGCUAACAACCAAAAAAUUGCAAACUAGGAAUGUUGAGAGUUGGAAGUCCAACAAAUGGAAAGCACAAGCUUGAGAAAGACUGAUGUACAGUGUAUAUAUAUAAAGGCCUGACCAUUUGUACUAUAGCUUUAUUUAAAGUUUGCUUUCCUUUUUCAUCUUUGCUUCUAGAUAUCAGCAUGAUGCUUCUCACCAGUGAUUCUAAAGCAGUUUAUUUUGGAAAGUAUGAACGUCAACCAGAUUCCGUCUUCCAUGUACCAGUGUUGUAACUAUUAACUCUUUCUGGCCCUACAAAAUAAUAUAACUUUUAAUCAGUUUCCUAAAAGGCAGUGGUGACCUUUUGGAGCUUGGAUGACCAGCAUGGUGCCUAUGACUUCCACCCAUGCCUCACUGUUUUGAUUCCAUAUUGAGAAAUCCACCUUCUUAAGUCCAUGUGGCAUGUUGUUACCCUUCAGUACUAAGCCCUGAAAGGCAAAUCUCCCAUCUCCAGGGUUCUGCCAUAGUACUUCCUUCACAGAUAGUAGAAUGAGCUGGCUUCCAAAGUCUAAGAAAUUGAGUGCUCCUGAUUUAGGAAUAUAUUUCCUGAUAUGUUUCACAAAAACUCCUUGUUAGCAAAAAAGGAUUCUAUUCCUUGGAGGCUUUGGUGUUUUGAAAACCAGAAGGUAAGAAUAUUGGGGAUGACCAAUUUUCACGAAAGUAUCAUUCAAGGAAGUGGUAAUGGCCAAACACAGGAACUAACUUGUAAGAACUUGUAACACCUUUCAUAAACAUUUUGCUUCGAACAUGAUGGAAAACUGGGUAUGAAAGAAAAUUAUACACUAGAUUACAUUUUGAUGACAGAAUGUAUAAUUGAUCAAGAGACAAUGCUACUUUAAAAUGUGUCUUAACACAAUUUUAAUCUGACCUCUCAAUUGUAGCUGUCCGCCCCGUGUGAUCAAGUAUAUGAAAUAAAUGUUGAUAAGACAACUUACUUUUGUAUGUACUGUAGAUGGCUGUAGCUAUUAUGUUCCACUUUGGUUUAGACACAGACUUCCAGAAGUCUUUUCUCCCCACUCCCACCUUUAAUGUUACAUCCAAUCGGUUAAUUCAUUUGCUAUUUCUGUAUAUACACAGCUGUCCCUACCGGUAGGCAGAGUGAGACAAGUGUGGAGAUGGGACCUAUUAGUAUUCACUAUAGAACUCUUAGCCAGAGAAUUCAAAUAGCAUAGAAGGGGAGAAGGUGGCAGGUCAAGGUUAUUAAGCAAAUUUAGUCAGUCUGAGAGAGAACCAAACCAUCUUGAGCACAGCGGUGGGGUGGCAGGACACACUGUAGAACAAAGGGGAGGGAAGUGAAUUCCUAGAUGCAGCAAGCUGUACCAAGCCAAAUGGGUGUACUAGUUACAUAAUCUCAACAACAUAACAUACCUGUUGUUUUGCCCACAAGCAGUGUGAACUAACUUGAGCACAGUCAAAACUCUGGGAAAAGGAAGAGAGGAAGGGGACACUCCACUUUGGAAUCAACUCUUCACAUGGGCAGAAGAUACUCCCACAGGUUGGAGGAGGGAUCAUUACUUUGAUUUAUGCAACUUGUUAAUGGCUCUCAAGAAAAUGCCCUGUAUCAUAGCAAAACCUGUUAAGCUCCAAUAAAGGAUUGUAUUUUAUGAGCCUGAUGAAUCAUUUUGGUCUGCUGGAAAGGAAUGUGGUGAGGAGAGAAACAUGUUGGUGAUGGGUUUUGCAAGCAGUGGAUUGGAGCAGGGUAGAGAUCAGCAUGGAGCUGCUCAAGGACAGCUGCAUGUGUGCCACACAGCCUGUCUUAACAUCUCAUAAAGUAAUCUGCCUACAGAUGGCAAUGGAGGUUGCUGUCCCAUCACUAGUGCUGAAGUAGGAUGCAGAUUUCAGUCUGGUCAGUGUCUGUAUGCAGAAUAGGGAGACAUCACCUGGGGCAGCAAAAUGGCCUGGACAAGCCCUCUGGAUAUCUUCAGGUUUUCUGAAAGAUUGGCUCAUUCUCUACUGAAGCCUUCUCCAACCUAGUACCUUGCAGAUGUGUUGGACUGUAACGCUGACCAGUCCCAGGCAGAGAAUGAUAGGGCCUUCAGUCCAACACAUCUAGUGAGCACCACUUUGAGGAGGCUGUUCUCCUGAGAAUACAGUAGUGCUAGCAUGGUAUUUUAUAGUGUGUGUUGACUGCAUUGGAUUCCAGUGUUGAUUAUAACAACUGUUGCCUGAUUGCAGAAGUCUACUUGCCUAAUAAAUGUUCAGGUCAUGUUUUGUUUUGAAAAUUUAAAGACAGUCAUACUGUUUGAAGGCUUUGCAAAUGUCAGUGAAAUAAAAUCUGAAUGUGGUGACUUCCUUUUUUGGUACAUAUGGGGGGCAGUUGAAGGGCUGUAUGGUAUACCAUCAAAUUAAUUCAAAAUUCCAGUUUAAUAGUAAAGGUUCCUAAACUGCAUGUACAUCAAGCUUCAGACCAUGAAGAAGCAUCGCCCAUUAAAAAGAUUUGGCAGUUUAUGUUCCCCUGCAUGUGAGAAUGUAAAGGGUCCUGUCAAAGGUCCAUCUAGCUUAGUAACCUGCGUCUCACACUGGCCAACCAGAAUGUUUCUGAGAAGUCAAUUGCUUCCUUCCAAUGUUGUCCCCCAGUAAUUGUAAUCAGAUAAAGAAGCAUUAUGGUUAUCAUUACUAAUAGACUUUGAUUUUUUAAAAAUCAUCUAUCAACUAGUCUCAUUCCAUUCUGAAGCCAGCUAAACUAGUGGUUGUCAUUGCAUCUUGUGCAGUGGAUUCUAUACAUUUAAGUUCUGAAUGCAGUAAGAAAUACUUUCUCUUGUCUGUCCUUAAACUAUUACAGUCAGUUUCAUUGGCUGAUCCUGUCUUGUCCUAUGUGCAAAGAAAUAGCUCUUUUUGAAUAUUACAAAGUAAAAACUAUGUAUGGAACACAGCACAAAAAUGAUCUGGGACACUUCCUUUAGAAUUCCUACUAGCAGAUUCCCUGUUUUUGCAGCCAAAAUAUACUGCAGAGUAAUUACUACAUUUCGGUCCAAUGGGUUGAUGGUAAAUGGGUUUAAUAGUAAAUAAAUAUUUCAUUUAUUUGUGUAGCAGUUUUGACUGAAGAUUUUGUGUGCAUCUAUCUAUAAGCUUUGGUGUAGUGCAGACUUCCCCAACCUCGUGGCUUUUUAAUUUUCUGGAUUGGAACUCCUAGAAUUCUUUAGGAUUAGCUGGGGCUGAUGUGAGAUGAAUUCCAGCUAAUCUGGAGGGCACCAGAUUAGGAAAGGGUGAUGAAGUGGUAAGUUUCAACUGCAGUGUGUAUGUAUAUAUAAAAUACUUGUGUGUGCCUGUGUUAGGUAAAAAUACUCGUAAGUUCUUUCCCUAGAGAAAUCAAGUUGAUAGAGGCAUCUCAAGGAGGAGGCUGAACACAAUUGUAGGGCACUAACCUCAGAGCUUUAUUCAGGUACAACAGCUGAGGGGUGGGUGCCUCUGGCUUGAGCUGCAACAAGGUUCCACACCCUCCCUUUGUGUUAGUAGAUUAUUAUACUGUGUUGAGGGUCCACAUCCCCACACGGUCAACAAGUAGUCCAGCUUAACCCACCCAGCCAUCCCACGUCUUAUGUAUGAUCUCUGUUCACCCCAUCUUGAUAAUUGUUAGGCUGCAUUUUUUCCAACACCUAUUGUGUGUACACUCAUGCACACACACAAGAGCAGCAGUGCAUACCAGAAUGCCCAAUCUAUUAGGAAUACCAAGGCUGCAAUUUCAUAUUAGCAUAUUUGGGAGUAAGUUCCACUGAACUCAGUGAUUCUGUUUUCUGGCUGCAUAAGUCCAACCUGUAAAACACAUUCAAAUUUAAACAAACAAUCUUGUGCUUUUAAGAUGUGCUGCUUCCUUUCUGGAGAAAAAGUUGAGAUCAGACAUUUCCAUCUUUUCUCUUGCUCCCCACUCUCUCCCUCCCACCUUGCCCAGAGAACUACAUUGCCAAGGCAGCAUAUUAUUAUUAUUAUUAUUAUUAUUAUUAUUAUUAUUAUUAUUAUUAUUACAUCCAUGUAGCAUUUCAACACUGCAUUGUACAGAUUGGAUGAUGGUUUUAGAUGUUUGACUUUAUUCAAAUUAUCUAAGCCCCUAUAUUCUCCUAGAAGAGGUCAAGGUCACUGCCACUUCAGGUCACAUCCUUCCAUUUGCCCUUAAAAUUUAAACACUGUUUGAAAAUAAAUAGCAGGUGUAAGAUCCCUGCUCCACAUGAACCUUCAGGCAGUUCUGGCUACAGUUUCUGAGGGCCUCAGUCAAUGCAUCUAUGUACCUUCUCACUACCAUUGUCAGUAGCUGCUAUUGCUCCUCUGUUCCACAGCAUUGAUACCGGCUGCUUGGCUGCUGGGCAGAGUGCCAAAGAAGAUGCAGAUUGUGGCAUCUGCUGCUCCUCAGUCUCGCCACUGAGAUUGUCCAGGCCAGAGCACAAAGUGGGUGAACAAGCUGAUUCAAAGAGGGAGAAGCAAAUCCAGGGGGCUUUUGUCAGUGGGUGCCUGCUGGGAUAUCAGUCCUCAGUGGGUGCCCAACCAUGCCUAUUCUUGGGUACCUACUGUCAGUCUGCAAAUCAACUAUGACUGCUAAGAGAGAGAUCCAGAAUCUCAUGUAUCCCUUUCACUUGUACCUCCUAGAAAAAAAAAGAACUUGGCCUGAAGUGUCACAGUGUUCUUCCACUGUUCCUCUGUAUGAAUAGGCAGGCUGUUAGAAAGCAGUGGAACUUGUCUUGUAUGAACUUACUGACAGUCAGGCCAUCUCAUGUAAACAUGCAGUAUUGUUGUUUUUCUGUGUAUAGUAAACAGUCUGUGGUAGAGUACAACAGAUAGUUAAUUUUUUUUGCUUCCUGGUAAUGUAUUUCUCAAGCAUAGUGGCAGCACUAGGUGUACAGAUUCUUCUCCCUCUUUAUGUUCCAACAGUUUGUUUUUUAAAAAAUAAUUUGUAGACCAUCUUGAUGCCAUAAGGAUCUCAAUGCCAUUUACAGAACAAAUUUUAACACCAUCCAAAGCUGUAACAAAAAUUAAGAACAAAGCAUUAGACACCUCCAAAAUAAUAAAAGCCAUCUAACAAAUAUUAACUAACAAAUGCACAGUAGAACUGAAAUAUCUUGGCAGUCUGCUGGAAGUUAAGCAAGGAGCUAAGGAGGGAGUUCCACAACUGAGAUGCUUCCACAGAAAGGGCCAUGUCCCAUGUUGCAACCAUCUGCUCCAAAUGUGCCAUACAAACCAUGCAGAGAUGGCUCCAGGUUUUGGGGCACCUAGGCCAAUUGUUCUAUGAGAUCCUCUACCUCAGUGAGCUCACCUGAUUGUCUUCAGAUCAGUCUGUACCAGCUCCCAGGAAGGAAGGAAGGAAAAGGCGUGAGGGUGGGGAUUGUAUGGAGACUGCUGCUCUUUCUUCUUGCUUUGUUUAUUUAUUUGCCAACUUUUCCCUUCCCAGGAAUUCAUGGUGACUUAUGUAAUUCUCCUCUACUCAAUCUUCACAACAAAAACUCUGUGAGAUAAAUUGGGCUGAGAGCCUGUGGGUUCCAUGACUGAGUGGGGACUAGAACCCAGAUUGCCUGAGUCCCAGUCCUGCACUCUUAACCACCACACCACAUUGGCUUUUCUCUUGCUGCUUGCUUACAUGUUUAAAUUUUAUUUAUUAUUAACAUUACUAUACUGGCUUAUUUGCAAACAAAGCUAUCAAGGUGGAACACAAUAAUGUAUAACUUUAAAAUGUUUAAAAAUAUGAAAACAAUAAUGAAAUAGUUAAAUGAACCAGAUACGUAAUUUAAGAGGUCAAAUUAACAAAAUGUUUCUUCAUCCCCUUGCUAAAAGCCAACAGAGUGGGGGUUUAGUUUAGUUACUAUUACUGUAACACCAACAGUUUUAGUGUUGCACAAGACAAAGCCCUUUUAUGGCAAUGCUUAACACAACAGCAUCACCCUUCAUGGAUGCUUGUUACUAGAAAUUAUGAAGAAUUCAGCCUUUAGGUUGUUUCUAAAAAUUAAAAGAAUGGAUUUUUAUAUUAAGUGAAUGGGAUCUUGAGGAAGAACAAACCAUUUGUAAUUGCUGCUUGAUUUUAAAAUCUUCACUUUCCUGUCUCUUCAAUCUAUUGUAUACCAAACCUGUCUAGGGAGAAAGUCACGUAUCAAACAAAAUCUAGUUUUGACAGGCUACUGGUGACACAAACGUGUUGGAUCUGUGUGCUACUGCAGCAACCCAAACAAGCCUAAAACUGUAACUCAGUGAGUCUUUGUGGCACAGACAGAGUCUUCUCUCCUGUUGAUUUGUUCCAGUUCUAACUCAGAAGGGACCCCCUUUGCAGACUGAGGCCUCUUUUGUUGUCUCCUGUGAUUCUAUAACAUGCCAACCUUCUUUUCUUGCAAGGGGAGUACAGCUGAGGGCGAAGAACAGUUGUUGCUGGCAGAAGAUCAGCCAGAUUUGAUUGAAUCUCUCAAUCCCCAGUGCAAUGAUUAUAGGAGCUGCUCACAGAGAAGGACUUUCCUCCAAGAGAAGGAAAAAGAACAACUGUCCAUGCAUGAGAGCCUGGAUUAUUUGCCUUCACACAGUAGUGUUUACAAGAAGUGGCUUCAGGGGCAAACCUACAGAAUGGACUGGGAUCGGUGGUUGAUGAUGGGCAUCAUUGGAAUAGCAGUAGGAACUCUGGGUUUCCUGAUCCAUCAAAUAAUUGAUUAUCUCAUCAAACUGAAAUGGGAACUGGUGGAGAAUUAUAUUCAGAAAGGCAGUUUUCUCAUGACUUGGAUCUGCAUACUUGGAAUUGGACUGGUUAUGAUAAUUUUAUCCUCAGGACUGGUUGUGUUCUUUUGUCCAACAGGUGCACCAAGUGGAUUGCCAGAAGUCAUUGGCUUUCUGAAUGGAACUUCUAUUCAGCAAAUUUUUAAUUUCAGGACUUUUGUGGGAACAUUUGGCUCAUGUAUUUUAGCUGUGGCAUCUGGACUUUUCUGUGGACCAGAAGGUCCUAUGAUUCAUUUGGGUGCAAUAAUAGGGUAUGGACUGAGCCAGUUCAAAGUAACAGUCCUUGGAAGUCAUCUCCCAUCCUUUACCCGAUUUUGGAAUACAGCUGACAAGAGGAAUUUUGUUACGGCUGGUGCAGGGGCAGGAAUCGCCUCUGUAUUUCAUGCUCCAGUGGGUGGACUUCUGUUUACACUGGAGGAGGUGGCUUCUUUCUGGGAUAUCCAAUUGGCAUGGCAAACGUUCUUCUGCUGCUUGACGGCUGCAUUUACUACAGAUUUACUCUCUUCUUCCCUCUGUGGGUUCGUCUACAGGGGUCAGUUUGGAUUUUUCAAAGCAGAGAAGAGGAUUUUGUUUUGGGUUAAGAACUUACUGGAUAUGAGUGUGUUGGCUUUUGUUCCAGCCAUUUUCCUUGGAAUACUUGGGGGUCUUCUAGGAGCAUUCUUUGUUUUCCUGAAUAUAAAGAUUAAUAAAUUACGCAUGUGGUUCUUCAGCACAAUCCCAAAAACAUCCAUCAGAAAAAUAGGCAAGCUCUUAGAAUCAGUGCUUGUCCUUUUUUUGACCAUUACUGCUACUGUCUACUUGCCGUACUUCUUUCACUGUACUCCAGUCAAGAAGUUGGCAACAUUUGAUCCUGCUAGUAAGUCACAAAACUUAAGUCAUGCCAGCUGGCAAAUUUCAGAAUAUAAUUGUGCACCCGCAAUAUCACACACUGGGUCAAAUGAAGUGAAAUAUUCCAACCAAACCUUUAAUGAAGCUGCUGCACUAUUGGCUGAGAGUGGUAUGAGAGGAAUCACGUACCUUUUCAGACGUGGGACUCACAUGGAAUUUGGAUACAGCUCCCUUUUUACAGCACUGCUAUUCUACUUCUUGUUGUCCUGCUUGACUGCAGGAUCUGCUGUUGCAAGUGGUUUGGUUAUACCAAUGCUGUAUAUAGGAGCAUUAUAUGGCAGGAUCGUUGGACUGAUAUUGAUCUCCAUUUUUGGAGUUCAGGCUGAUGAACAUGCUGCAUGGGUUGAUCCAGGACUAUUUGCUGCUGUUGGAGCUGCUUCCUUCUUCAGUGGGGUUUCAAGGCUAACCAUCUCCCUUACUGUUAUAAUGGUAGAGAUCACAAAUGAUGUACAGUCCUUGCUACUUAUAAUGUUGGCUGUCAUGGUAGCCAAAAUGGUUGGUGACUGGUUUAACAUGUCUCUGUACAGUUCUUUACUGAAGCUGAAAUGCAUUCCUUACUUAGAUGCUGAGCCAGUUGUUUGCCAUAGGAAAAAAUGGUUAAACUUGGAACUGUUUACUGCCAGAGAUGUCAUGAAGCUUCAUGUCAGAGUUCUCCAUUUAAAGGAGAACAUAGCUUUCCUGGCUCUGCUUCUUGCUAGCACCAGCCAUAGUGGAUUCCCAGUCAUUUACAAAUCUAAGCCAGAUCAGGCAGAGGUUUUCCUGGGGACAAUUACUAGGCUUGAGCUGUGUGUGCUACUGGAAAAUGAAACCAUCUUUGAAACUGAGGAUGUGGAAGACUCUGAAUCCUGCCCAUCUCUUCUGUCCUACCAGAAGAUCAGAGUUGAAAAAUUGCCUGAUCAGCAGAGAAUGGCUGCUAUAUUAGGUUGCUACAGUACAGAUCCUCGAUAUCAGCAACUGUUCAUCAAUCUGGAGCCAUAUAUCAACAAAUCAGCAAUGUCAAUUCAGGCUCACUUCUCCCUGCAGCGCACAUAUACCAUCUUCCGGUCUCUGGGUCUUCGGCACCUGACGGUUGUUGAUUUACAGAACCAGGUUGUUGGACUAAUCACCAGGAAAGAUCUGAUAUCUUUCCAGCUGGAGGAGAAGCUGGGGCUCCAAGAGGCAUCACAGCAGCCUCACUCCGAUGAUGAGCUUUUAGACUAGGAAGCAAUCUGCAUGGGGAAUGAGGACGUGUCUCAAGGUUUCGUUUUACUUUUUAGGAAGAUAUGCUGCAUGUUCAUGAGCAUCCUUAGCUGUGCUGUCUCUGACAGACAAGCUCUCAAACUAAAAUGUAAGGGUCUGAUGCCUUGGGCAGUCUUCUCUGCAAAACUUCACAGUCUUCUCAGUUAAUUGUAUGUAUUUGUGUUUAUGUACACGGAUUCGGUCUGUGCAGUGUUAGUUAAAAGAAGCUGGAUGGACUUAAACGCUUGCAACAUCUUUUUGACCAAGCAUAACUGACAGCGACAGAACCUCUCAAUCCAUAGAGGAAACACAGAGCAUUUUCAGUUAGAGAAUACAAUGGUUUGGGAUGGCCCCUGGAGCAUGACACAUUUCUUUCCAUCUGCUCAUUGCCGACAUGCCACAGCUCAUUCCUCCAAAGUGAACCUCCCUCGGCAGGUUAGUUCAUGAGGAUACAAUCAUCUACUUUAGCAUCAAGUUUAUUGCCUUCAGCAAAGUAAUGCUGACAUGUGGUGUUGGUGAAAAUGCCAAACUGAAGUACACUGUCAAAGAAGGGUGCAGAAUUUCCUGCUGUUUUUGGCCUCAUUUCUUUUUAAUUCAGAGUGAGCCUUUUAAAGGAUGCUAUCAUGCCCCUGUUUUAUGUGCCUUUGGGUGUUCUUUCUGUAGCUUUUUUAUUACUAAAUGUUUGAAUUACUUGAAGCCUGAAAACCAGCUGCUAGUAGAAACCACUAGAUGCCACUCUUUCCAACAUGUUCACAAAUCUUCACACAACUUGCUUAAUGAACUGAAAUGAGUCACAUGCACAGCCCACCGUGUUUGAAUAGAACUGUAGCACCACAGUACUGCAAAAAUGACCUCAGUAGAUGUUUAUCGUUUUUGGAUCAUUUUCAGUAGUUUUCUGCCAAGCUAAAAUACGAUACAAGUAGGACUAAUGUCUAGGGGUAUGAUACUCAAAGCCUCCACUUGCUUAACCCUUAAAAGGCUUUAAAAAAGAACAUUAUUUAAAUAGGAUGGUUUUGCAGUUUAAGUUUGUUCAUUGUUUCUGAAAGAGCAACUUGUUAUUCCAUUCCUCAGGGGGAAAAAGUGAGUGAAUUGAAACAGCAAGCCAGUAGCACAUCUGCUGACCAUUUGUUGCUCAUUGGUUCAUGGUUCCUUCUACAUCAGCCUGUGUCAAGUCUAUGGCUAGCAAGUGCAACACUGCAAAGCAAGCUGUCGAUCUGAGAUUUCAUGGAUAUCACAGAUUGCCAUUAUCCAACCUCUGUUAUCUGAUGUCUCAAUCCAACAGGAGAAAAAGAAUGACUGUCAAAAUCUCAGAGGGGUGGGAAUGCAUGACAGUAGAAGCAGCAGCAGAACCCACUCACAAUUCCCGGCAUAGGAGUUAUACUGCAAAGAUGGCUGGAGUACUUGCGGUUGACUAAUGGCUACUAUGUUCUGUGUAGCUUAAAAGGCUUGCUUCCAACUAUGUAAACAUCAGUUGGCCUAGAUAAAGGUUGCAGAUAAGCUUGGUUUGAGAUGGAUGAAAGAGGGAAGAACCACAGCCUUGAUUCAUGAGAGGGAAGGCUGCAGCAGAACAUUAUGGCAAGAAUAGUGCAAUAAUGGAACCAUUUACUGACAGUUUUGGGUACUAUGCAUUUUCUUUUGCUAUGCUGUCUCCAAGAGUGGCUCAGGCACAAGAAUAAGGUGACCACAUGGGUGCAUGCUGCAAUCACUUUAACUUGGAAGAACCUUUUGGGAAAACAUUUGUGCACUUCUGUAAGAGGGGGCUUUCCCAGUGUGAAAUGUAAACAUUGUCAGGGAAGUAAACAGCAUAUACUCUUCCCACCCAAGCUGCCUGAUGUACAGAUGUGGAUCCCAAGGAUUAACAUGCUUCUGGGAAUAUUAACAAACUGAAGGGUGGUGGAAGGCAGGGGGAAACAGGAUUCUUCAUGUAGAAAAAAUGGAGUGGGAACAGAUCCGUUAUGCACCCAUGGGGCAGGAUGAGGUCACGUUACUGGUCAAGCAUCCCUCUGUGCUGAAGAAAUUCCUCUCCAGAUCCUCAGAACAGUCCGCACAUGAUAUAUCAGGUCCCAGUGUGAAGGGUCAUGGUAUUUACAAGAUCUCCUGUGGUUUCAGAGGGGUGACCAGAAAAUAGAUUCCUGGCCCUCAGGCUGAAAAAGGAAAAAGAAAAAGAGUGGUACUGGCUUAGCCGUCUGAGAAUACAACCCAGAAGGUAUGUCUAAUUGAUUGAGAAGGCUUCAACAGCUCUGUGUAAACAGUACUUUGCACAAUGUGUUUCUUUGACUAAUUAAGUACCUUGAGGAAUGAGUUAAUCAAAAAACUAGUGUGGAGAUCCAUCAAUCUUCAGUGAUCAAUAAAAUUGCAGCUACCAAGAUUUAACAGAGAAGUCUGUGACUGGUGGAUUUAGGUCUAAAUUGUCAACAUUAAAUGUUUAAAGCUAGGUUCCAAAGUCCAUAUUUAGCUUUACAAAUUAAUGGUCAGAUUUCUCUGAAGUAUUUAACAUGGUAAAACUCUUACUCAAGAACUGCUGGAUACUAAGAAUAUGAAAAAUGAGGCCUCUUGCCAAGUGCCUAAGCAAGGAAUGUUAAGACUGUGGCUGGUGAUUAUUAGACAUGUAAAUACCCAGUUUGAGUCACCAGAACUGGGGGUGAAAAGAAACCUCUAGCUCGAAUAUUUCUAAAGAUGGGUUUAGAUUGCAAUUCUGUUUCUUGUACUCUGGUGUUCAUUAACAUUGAUAGUCUGUGGUAAGAUUACAAGGAAGUGCAUCAUGUAAUGCAUGAUGCCUUACUGAAUGUAUGUUGGACUUCAGUUCUGUUUGCUUAUUAUUCUGUCUCCUUUUUCUUGAAUGAGCUCAGGAUAAUGUUCAUGGUUGUCUUCCAACUUUAUCAGAAUCCUGUGAAGUAGCUUAGGCUGAUAGAUAAUGAUAUAAUGCACAUUGGAUAAACUUCAUGGUUGCAUUAGGAUUUGAAUCCAGGUCUUUCCAUUUCCAGCCUGUUAGCUCUCAUUUAUGAUAAUCCUGACAGAUGCUUGAAUUGGCCUACUGUUCUUCUUAAUCAGAGGUAGGGAAGCUUUUUCAGGCUGAAGGCUGAAUUCAAUUUUGGAGAGACUCUUGGGCUGAAUUCCAGUGUGGGUGGGACAAAAGACAAAGGGACUGGGGGCAGAAGCAAAAAGGAUGGGGCCCAAAAUAUACCCUGCCCCCCAGCAUAUUAUAACUUAAAGCUCUUACUACCAGUCAUUGAGCCUUAGCAGAGUCAUUUUAGCAUGGAGAAAAUACUGCACAAAAACUAGGAAAUCACCAAAAGAUCAAUGGCUAGAGGAAAGAGGUUGGGCUGGGGAGGCAACAUGGUCAUUUGAAGGAAACCAGAGGGCUGUCUUUGGCCCCCACAAGGGCCUGUUUACUAACCCAUGAUGUACAUUCAUCUAAAUCAUGUAGCUGUGAUUCUGCUAGUGCUAUUGUGUGAAGAACUAUCCCAUGCCAGACUGUAUCAGUCUGAGGAAGAACAGUACAAUACAGUACAGAAACCAGAUGGACUAACAGUUCAGACUGUAUAAGUACAGUGCCUUCAACUGCCCAGGUGCAGAGUGCAGAUGGGGCGAACCAAAUAUGAGCAACAUUUCUGAUGUGUCAUUGACCUAUUGAAUCAUGAAUUGAAAAUGUAGCUUCAAUUCCCAUUACUUCAACAUCUGAAUGCUUACUUUGUUUUCUUUCUUAAAUAUAGUUUUAUAGCUUUAUCAUGAACCCUGAGGUUCAAACCACUUAUUUAAAUGGUAACUUGAGUCUUGAUAAUUUAUUUUCUUGUCAUGAAAACAUUCUCAGUGUUGAUAGGAUAACUCAAAUAAUUUGUUUCCUUAACAGAGUUGAUGUUGAUAGAUUCACAAUAUUUUUCCUUAAAAAAAAGCAAAACAAAAACAAAAAACCCUUGCAGAGAAGCAGCUUUUGUAAAUUGCAGGCCAGUAAAUAUAGCCACCCAAGUCUGGCACAUCAUCAACAGCCUCUAAUAUUUUUAACUUCUUUUGUGUAAGAUCACAAAAGCUCUAGACUGAACCAACCGGAUGUUUUGUAACUUUGCUGUAUUACCUAAUAUUAUUGAUGCAGAUUAGAUGUCAUUCAUCUGCAGGUGUCAAAAGCAUAUCAUUGGACACUGUACAACUAUUGCAAAUAGUUUAAUUUGUGUAUUCAUGUCCAAUUUAGUAACAGAUAUUGCUGGGCUUAAGGUUAGGUUAAAAUAGUGCAUUGCAAAAGUAUCUGUUAUUUCAAUGGGAAAUUAUGAGACAUAUUCUCAGAAAACA
Varanus komodoensis (Komodo dragon) is the source of this 14388-nucleotide RNA transcript. It is a transcript of the gene named chloride channel protein C-like, with no coding region annotated. Lineage: Eukaryota; Metazoa; Chordata; Lepidosauria; Squamata; Varanidae. The transcript is spliced from 23 exons. The record is from RefSeq and is a predicted model, not a curated record.